GGGGGGGGGGGGGGGGGGGGGGGGGGGGGGGGGGGGGGGGGGGGGGGGGGGGGGGGGGGGGGGGGGGGGGGGGGGGGGGGGGGGGGGGGAACCAGGGCACGAACCAGGGCACGAACCAGGGCACGAACCAGGGCACGAACCAGGGCACGAACCAGGGCACGAACCAGGGCACGAACCAGGGCACGAACCAGGGCACGAACCAGGGCACGAACCAGGGCACGAACCAGGGCACGAACCAGGGCACGAACCAGGGCACGAACCAGGGCACGAACCAGGGCACGAACCAGGGCACGAACCAGGGCACGAACCAGGGCACGAACCAGGGCACGAACCAGGGCACGAACCAGGGCACGAACCAGGGCACGAACCAGGGCACGAACCAGGGCACGAACCAGGGCACGAACCAGGGCACGAACCAGGGCACGAACCAGGGCACGAACCAGGGCACGAACCAGGGCGCCGCUUCCUCCCUCCGCCUCGGGCCGCCCCUCAGUGCGCUGCUCCCUCCAUGCAGGGACAAGGGACCUCAGAGCACGGAUGGCACCACCCGUGCCAUGUCACCCCCGUGUUUGCUGGGGGUGACGGUGUUUUCUGUGGCCAGCUGACCACCGCAGCUCUCCCCUCGGGGUGUGAUGGCCUGGCCCUCUCCCUGCCGUGCACAGGCCUUGAGCAGCUGCAGCAUGGCCGCCCCGUGCCUGCUCCCACCGAGGGGCUGCCCUCCUCCUCCACAGGCAGCGCUGCCUCUCCAAACACACACAGCGGCUGGUGCUGUUUGUCUGCUCACUGGAGAAGUUUUGCAAUGGAGUGUGAAGAGAGGGAUACAACCGUCAGGAACAGAGGAAAGCUUGAAGACAGGCCUAAUGAUUGCUGUGCUUGGGAUGGCCGAGGUGUUUGCAAGUCUGUGUUUGAAGGAGUCAUUACCACCCUACAAGCAUUCUCAAUUGUGGCCACCUUCCUCUGCUGCCUCAGAAGACCAUGUUUGCAAGUCUGUGUUUGA
RNAcentral lists this long non-coding RNA (997 nucleotides) under Ficedula albicollis (Collared flycatcher). RNAcentral's name for it is "lncRNA (ENSFALG00000028983.1)". The record is from RNAcentral. Lineage: Eukaryota; Metazoa; Chordata; Aves; Passeriformes; Muscicapidae.